GAUGAACGCUGGCGGCGUGCCUAAUACAUGCAAGUCGAGCGAACAGACGAGGAGCUUGCUCCUCUGACGUUAGCGGCGGACGGGUGAGUAACACGUGGAUAACCUACCUAUAAGACUGGGAUAACUUCGGGAAACCGGAGCUAAUACCGGAUAAUAUAUUGAACCGCAUGGUUCAAUAGUGAAAGACGGUUUUGCUGUCACUUAUAGAUGGAUCCGCGCCGCAUUAGCUAGUUGGUAAGGUAACGGCUUACCAAGGCAACGAUGCGUAGCCGACCUGAGAGGGUGGUCGGCCACCCUGGAACUGAGACACGGUCCAGACUCCUACGGGAGGCAGCAGUAGGGAAUCUUCCGCAAUGGGCGAAAGCUUGACGGAGCAACGCCGCGUGAGUGAUGAAGGUCUUCGGAUCGUAAAACUCUGUUAUUAGGGAAGAACAAAUGUGUAAGUAACUAUGCACGUCUUGACGGUACCUAAUCAGAAAGCCACGGCUAACUACGUG
RNAcentral lists this ribosomal RNA (497 nucleotides) under uncultured bacterium. RNAcentral's name for it is "partial 16S ribosomal RNA". It matches the Rfam family "Bacterial small subunit ribosomal RNA", at positions 28 to 507 of the family's 1533-position model. The record is from RNAcentral.